RNAcentral lists this ribosomal RNA (269 nucleotides) under uncultured prokaryote. RNAcentral describes it as "partial 16S ribosomal RNA". It matches the Rfam family "Bacterial small subunit ribosomal RNA", at positions 524 to 792 of the family's 1533-position model. The record is from RNAcentral.
UACGGAGGAUCCGAGCGUUAUCCGGAUUUAUUGGGUUUAAAGGGUGCGCAGGCGGGAGAUUAAGUCGGCGGUGAAAUUUUGCAGCUCAACUGUAAAAGUGCCUUCGAAACUGGUUUCCUUGAGUGUAGCUGAAGUAGGCGGAAUUUGUGGUGUAGCGGUGAAAUGCAUAGAUAUCACGAGGAACUCCGAUUGCGCAGGCAGCUUACUAAACUACUACUGACGCUCAUGCACGAAGGCGUGGGGAUCAAACAGGAUUAGAUACCCGCGUA